RNAcentral lists this ribosomal RNA (460 nucleotides) under uncultured bacterium. RNAcentral's name for it is "partial 16S ribosomal RNA". It matches the Rfam family "Bacterial small subunit ribosomal RNA", at positions 338 to 795 of the family's 1533-position model. The record is from RNAcentral.
CCUACGGGAGGCAGCAGUGAGGAAUAUUGGUCAAUGGACGAGAGUCUGAACCAGCCACGUCGCGUGAAGGAUGACUGCCCUAUGGGUUGUAAACUUUUUUUAUAUGGGAAUAAAAUGUUCAAAGCGUAGGAUUUUGUAUGUACCAUAUGAAUACGGAUCGGCUAACUCCGUGCCAGCAGCCGCGGUAAUACGGAGGUUCCGAGCGUUAUCCGGAUUUUUUGGGUUUAAUGGGAGCUUAGGUGGAUUGUUAAGUCAGUUGUGAAAGUUUGCGGCUCAACCGUAAAAUUGCAGUUGAAACUGGCAGUCUUGAGUACAGUAGAGGUGAGCGGAAUUCGUGGUGUAGCGGUGAAAUGCUUAGAUAUCACGAAGAACUCCGAUUGCGAAGGCAGCUCACUGGACUGCAACUGACACUGAGGCUCGAAAGUGUGGGUAUCAAACAGGAUUAGAUACCCUAGUAGUC